GACGAACGCUGGCGGCGUGCUUAACACAUGCAAGUCGAACGGAAAGGCCCUGCUUUUGUGGGGUGCUCGAGUGGCGAACGGGUGAGUAACACGUGAGUAACCUGCCCUUGACUUUGGGAUAACUUCAGGAAACUGGGGCUAAUACCGGAUAGGAGCUCCUGCUGCAUGGUGGGGGUUGGAAAGUUUCGGCGGUUGGGGAUGGACUCGCGGCUUAUCAGCUUGUUGGUGGGGUAGUGGCUUACCAAGGCUUUGACGGGUAGCCGGCCUGAGAGGGUGACCGGCCACAUUGGGACUGAGAUACGGCCCAGACUCCUACGGGAGGCAGCAGUGGGGAAUAUUGCACAAUGGGCGGAAGCGUGAUGCAGCAACGCCGCGUGCGGGAUGACGGCCUUCGGGUUGUAAACCGCUUUCGCAUGUGACGAAGCGUGAGUGACGGUAAUGGGUAAAGAAGCACCGGCUAACUACGUG
Molecule: ribosomal RNA, 468 nt
Filed under: uncultured bacterium
Lineage: Bacteria
Description: partial 16S ribosomal RNA
Rfam family: Bacterial small subunit ribosomal RNA
Source: RNAcentral